UGAGCAAUCUGCCCUUCUCAUCGGAAUAAGCGUUGGAAACGACGUCUAAUGCCGAAUACGACCUCCUUUCGCAUGAUCGGAGGUGGAAAGCUCCGGCGGAGAAGGAUGAGCUCGCGGCCAAUCAGCUAGUUGGUGUGGGUAAUGGCCCACCAAGGCGACGACGGGUAGCCGGCCUGAGAGGGUGACCGGCCACACUGGGACUGAGACACGGCCCAGACUCCUACGGGAGCAG
This 232-nucleotide ribosomal RNA is filed under the name uncultured bacterium. Its description in RNAcentral is "partial 16S ribosomal RNA". It matches the Rfam family "Bacterial small subunit ribosomal RNA", at positions 118 to 347 of the family's 1533-position model. The record is from RNAcentral.